This 76-nucleotide transfer RNA is filed under the name Marmota marmota marmota (Alpine marmot). It matches the Rfam family "tRNA". From Rfam's summary of the family: Transfer RNA (tRNA) molecules are approximately 80 nucleotides in length. Their secondary structure includes four short double-helical elements and three loops (D, anti-codon, and T loops). Lineage: Eukaryota; Metazoa; Chordata; Mammalia; Rodentia; Sciuridae. RNAcentral also lists the same sequence under 1 other name. The record is from Rfam by way of RNAcentral.
GGGAGUAUAGCUCAGUGGUACAGCAUAUGCUUAACAUGUGCAAGGUCCUGGGUUCAAUCAAUUCCCAGUACCACCA